CCAAGACUGCUGGAGGUGUACAAAGAAGCAACCAAGUCUGGAAAGAAGCCAUCACUCAAAGACAUUCUGGACUGUCUUGUGAAAGAUGAGACAAAUGAGAGGAGAAGAGCUGCUGCUCUGCUUGGUCUGCCACACCUCAUCUGAGGCGAAGAUCCAUCAAAUGCCAUCAGGAUGUGUGAUGCUCAUGUUGAGAUUGUGGAUGAAGCCAUGAAGGGGAUGCAGCUUGGCCUUCUGAUAGGCUGUGAAGGUGGUGAACUGGGUGCCGUUCCACA
This is a long non-coding RNA of Melanotaenia boesemani (Boeseman's rainbowfish), 272 nucleotides long. RefSeq lists it as uncharacterized. The transcript is spliced from 3 exons. The record is from RefSeq and is a predicted model, not a curated record. Lineage: Eukaryota; Metazoa; Chordata; Actinopteri; Atheriniformes; Melanotaeniidae.